This 221-nucleotide unclassified non-coding RNA is filed under the name soil metagenome. RNAcentral's name for it is "partial contains 5.8S ribosomal RNA, internal transcribed spacer 2, and large subunit ribosomal RNA". The record is from RNAcentral.
AACCAUAGAAACCUGCGGAGUACCUGCGGAGGGAUCAUUACAGAGAACCUGCCCUUUGAGGUAGAUCUCCCACCCUUUGUUUACAAUACCUCUGUUGCUUUGGCAGGUCCGUCUUACGACCACCGGCUUUGGCUGGUCCGCGCCUGCCAGAGGACCUCAAACUCUGGAUUUUUGUUGUCUGAGUUACCAUAAAUAGUUAAAAAACUUUCAACAAUGGAUCU